Molecule: ribosomal RNA, 433 nt
Filed under: uncultured bacterium
Lineage: Bacteria
Description: partial 16S ribosomal RNA
Rfam family: Bacterial small subunit ribosomal RNA
Source: RNAcentral
AACGAACGCUGGCGGCAUGCCUAACACAUGCAAGUCGAACGAGACCUUCGGGUCUAGUGGCGCACGGGUGCGUAACGCGUGGGAACCUGCCCUUAGGUUCGGAAUAACUCCCCGAAAGGGGUGCUAAUACCGGAUAAUGUCUUCGGACCAAAGAUUUAUCGCCUUUGGAUGGGCCCGCGUUGGAUUAGCUAGUUGGUAGUGUAAAAGCCUACCAAGGCGACGUUCCAUAGCUGGUCUGAGAGGAUGAUCAGCCACACUGGGACUGAGACACGGCCCAGACUCCUACGGGAGGCAGCAGUGGGGAAUAUUGGACAAUGGGCGAAAGCCUGAUCCAGCAAUGCCGCGUGAGUGAUGAAGGCGUUAGGGUUGUAAAGCUCUUUUACCCGGGAUGAUAAUGACAGUACCGGGAGAAUAAGCUCCGGCUAACUCCGUG